RNAcentral lists this long non-coding RNA (376 nucleotides) under Numida meleagris (helmeted guineafowl). Its description in RNAcentral is "lncRNA (ENSNMEG00000010550.1)". The record is from RNAcentral. Lineage: Eukaryota; Metazoa; Chordata; Aves; Galliformes; Numididae.
UAGCAGUCUGGGCCUUUACCUCCUGUGUAAAUAUUACCAAGUAAGAAAAAAGGUUGUAAUUUGCAAGCAGUAGCUAUUUCAGCAGAGGACAAAAAUCCAGGUGUUAUUUUAGGAACUGAUCUGCUUUAUUCCUGUGUUCUUGGAGAUAUCUGUGAAGGGCAGUCAAGAAUUUAACUAUGGACAAGGAGGACUGAGUUAUAAACAGCACUUCAGCAUUGAACUGUGCAGAUUCACACCAGAUCUGGCUGUCUUCCCAGGCUGCUGCAGACUGGAAUUAAAAAUAAAUGCUGUGGAAAGUAACAUGAAACGUGGUGGUUUGGGACAACUGCUGUACAACAGGAUAAGCCUAUAUUUGUAUCAAACUAAAAAGAGAUGA